RNAcentral lists this transfer RNA (82 nucleotides) under bacterium. RNAcentral's name for it is "tRNA-Leu". It matches the Rfam family "tRNA". From Rfam's summary of the family: Transfer RNA (tRNA) molecules are approximately 80 nucleotides in length. Their secondary structure includes four short double-helical elements and three loops (D, anti-codon, and T loops). The record is from RNAcentral. RNAcentral also lists the same sequence under 1 other name.
GCGAGAGUGGCGGAACUGGCAGACGCGCUAGACUUAGGAUCUAGUGGAGCAAUCCGUGGGGGUUCGAGUCCCCCCUCUCGCA